This 924-nucleotide small RNA is filed under the name Pan troglodytes (chimpanzee). RNAcentral's name for it is "retained intron". The stretch from base 366 to 449 matches the Rfam family "Small nucleolar RNA MBII-202". Lineage: Eukaryota; Metazoa; Chordata; Mammalia; Primates; Hominidae. The record is from RNAcentral.
UUCCUUUCCGCUCGGCUGUUUUCCUGCGCGGGAGCCGCAGGGCCGUAGGCAGCCAUGGCGCCCAGCCGGAAUGGCAUGGUCUUGAAGCCCCACUUCCACAAGGACUGGCAGCGGCGCGUGGCCACGUGGUUCAACCAGCCGGCCCGGAAGAUCCGCAGACGUAAGGCCCGGCAAGCCAAGGCGCGCCGCAUCGCCCCGCGCCCCGCGUCGGGGCCCAUCCGGCCCAUCGUGCGCUGCCCCACGGUUCGGUACCACACGAAGGUGCGCGCCGGCCGCGGCUUCAGCCUGGAGGAGCUCAGGGUGAGUACUGGCAGCGCUGCGGUGUCAGGAAGGCCCCGAAGUCCCCUCUGUUGGCCUCAGUCGCGUGAUGACAUUCUCCGGAAUCGCUGUACGGCCUUGAUGAAAGCGCAUUUGAACCCUUUUCCAUCUGAUUGCUGAGGCUUUUCAUCCAGGCCUCGGGGCUGGAGAAAGCCCGGGCCUGUCUCCAUCUCUCUCUGGUUCUGGGGCAGGUGGCCGGCAUUCACAAGAAGGUGGCCCGGACCAUCGGCAUUUCUGUGGAUCCGAGGAGGCGGAACAAGUCCACGGAGUCCCUGCAGGCCAACGUGCAGCGGCUGAAGGAGUACCGCUCCAAACUCAUCCUCUUCCCCAGGAAGCCCUCGGCCCCCAAGAAGGGAGACAGUUCUGCUGAAGAACUGAAACUAGCCACCCAGCUGACCGGACCGGUCAUGCCCAUCCGGAACGUCUAUAAGAAGGAGAAAGCUCGAGUGAUCACUGAGGAAGAGAAGAAUUUCAAAGCCUUCGCUAGCCUCCGUAUGGCCCGUGCCAACGCCCGGCUCUUCGGCAUACGGGCAAAAAGAGCCAAGGAAGCCGCAGAACAGGAUGUUGAAAAGAAAAAAUAAAGCCCUUCUGGGGACUUGGAAUCAG